This 2511-nucleotide long non-coding RNA is filed under the name Lepisosteus oculatus (spotted gar). Its description in RNAcentral is "lncRNA (ENSLOCG00000021065.1)". The record is from RNAcentral. Lineage: Eukaryota; Metazoa; Chordata; Actinopteri; Semionotiformes; Lepisosteidae.
GAAAAACAAUACACUGAAAUGUUGCAACAAGAGCGUGCUGGUGUUUUUUUUUCCCCACAAGCGGUGAAAACUGAAUCAGGGCAUAGUAAACUGUAUGCAUGACAUAGUUUUUAUGUAAUGCAUUACGCAUAAUUCACUUUCUAGCGCUGCUUACUGUAUAUUGCCUGGCACUUUGUAAUAUUUUAUUUCUACGAUUCAGUAGUUAGAAGUGUACAGGAAAGACUGUUCUCGUUCCUAAUUAAUUAUUUAGCUCGAUUAAUCAAACGGGCUGCUAUCCACUGUAAGGAGGAGUGUAAUUAUUUUAGUCAUUGUCUUUACAGAAGAGCAGAAAGACUUGUGAAGAUUUGAAUCGCACGCUAUGGAAUGCGAAAGCGGGUUCUUGUCGGGCAUGAACGGUGCACAUUUCGCAGUUUGUGAUAAAAAAGUGAAUGGCCACACGUUUGAUGUACUACCCAACAAAAGAAAACGCAACAUUGAGGAAAACUACGGCACAAAGGGCUGCGUCUGUGGAGCAAAUGAAAACCAAAGGUUUGCAGCUCAGGAAACGAAUAGAAAACACGCACGUUUUGUAUCAAUUAAUGGAAACAGAGGAGUGUUUUACUCUGAGUGCUGGAAACCAAAUGGAAGCACCCUGUACCUGCCCUUCACAAACAACAUCUUGGUAAACAUGGACAAAUAUGACCAGAUCAGCAUCGAAGAGGGCUCCUUUUUCAUAGGCAAUAAUUCCGGAGAAUGCCUUCAGAAAAUGCAAGGUCAUGCAAUGCAUUGUUGGCGAUAUAAUGACCAGGAAAAGAAACUGUUUAUAGCACUAUCAUAUUUCUUUGUCAAUCCAUCUGUGUUCCAGGAAGUUGUAUGUUCUCUUGAUGGGCUGUGAGAAUUCAGUGUUGCAACAUCUGUGAUGCAGCAUUUACUCAGAUACCAGUGAUCAAAAACAUUUAAGAUUGAUCUAAAUAUACUACUUACCUGUAUAUAAGUUUUUAUGAGAAUCACUUGGCUCAGAUAUGCACUGCUAUAACUGUAAGAUAACUUGAUUGUGAUUACACUGUCACUUUAUACACAAUUAAGAAUUUCUUUCUGCAGAAGUCCAUGUACAAUAUGCACUGCAUUUUAUUUUCUUUAAGGACCCAAAUGGAUCAAUAUAGUACCAAACUUGUGAAGCCCUUGGUGACAGCUCUGCACUGUGGGCUUGGCAGCAGCUGAGAAUGCUUUGUUCACCAGCUCUUUAGUGUAGUGUAAUUUUUUGCAUUUUAAUAUUUUAUACUACUUUAAUAAGUGACUAUUUGUAGUACAGUUUCUUAAUGUUGAUUUACACCUUCCACUUUUGCAAACUUACAUUCUGAUAGUCUGUUCAAUGAGCAGUGUAGUUUAAUGGAAGAAAAAGGUUUGACUUUUGACUUGAGAAAUGCAAAAAUGGGUUGAAGUACCGGAAAAGGUUUCUCUAAUCCCAUUAUUGUAAAAUAGGGGGAAUAUUGGUUUAAGCCCUAAGAACGUUUUUGUGUAGCAGUAUUACAUUAAUAAUAUAAGUACAGUGGUUUAUUUAGAAUCAUAGAUGUUUAUGGGUUGAAACAAGAAUUCUUUAAGCUUAUUACAUGUGCUGUUUCCAUGUUGUUUUUUUAUAUUUUUUGUAUUUUUUUAUAUUGUUAUAAAUAAUCAGUCAAUGCUUUGGAAACUGUUGUCUUUUCAUUUAAAAUUGAACAAUAUUAAUUCAAAUAACAUGUGACUGCGUUAUUUAGAAAGCAUCUAAUUAUAGAAAAUAUUCAACAAAUAUACUUUGUUGUAUAUUUGUGAGAUCUGAAAACUGAAUGGUGAUAUGUUUGUGAUGUUAGGCAUUUAAAGCAUAUCUCUACUACUGUAUGUUGUUACUGAUCUUAGUAAUUAUGAACUAGGGUUUGUUCACAGGAGAAAUGUCUUAUCUUCAAACAGAAAGGACCAUCUGCUACAUAACUUCUUUCACAGCUCAGUGUAAUGAUGAAUAGGUAGGAUGCUCAAAACAGCCUUUCCUCCUUGAUUAAAUGCCAUGUCUGUUCCAGGAGAUAUACAGUACCAGUCAGAUGUUUGAGUACACCUCCUGGAAACCAGGUUUUUCAUGAUUAUCUGUGCUUUAAACUGUAAAAAUGUGUCUAUAAACACUUAAAUAUGUAAUUACAUGACACGUGUACUUCUAAUCUUCACACAAUCUCCUCUGAACAAUUGAUGUUGAAACAUCUGUACUUCUAGUUGCAUUUCUGACUUUUAACUAACCUGGGCUUCCGACUGAAAUCUGCUUGCUUUUGGUGUUUAUUUUAUUGAAAAUGAAAAAGUAACAUUUUCAGUGCAGUUUAGUUCAGAUUUAAAGUACAAAUAUGAUUUAAUUAAAUAUUUAAGUGUUUAUAGACACAGUUUAAAGCACAGAUAAUCAUAAAAAACCUGGUUUCAAGGAGGUGUACUAAACCUUUUGACUGGUACUGUAGAUGUAGACAACAAAUGGAAAAACAGCACUUUGGACAGGGAAGGGCUAAAAAUUGGUUCCAG